UCCAGGUCCUUCCUGCUCAAGUUGAGCGACUGUGUAACCAGUUAAUGUUUUCAAGUGCCCAGAAAUGAUGGAUAAUGACAAGAACAUUUUUGUUUUUUGUUUCAGUGAACUUGAAGAACAUACGUAUGUGGAGAAUGCCCAGGGGAAAGUCUGAUGAACCACCUGUCCUGUCCCAGCUCUUGAUAUGUCUGUCAGAUGGGUUGAUGAAAUUCUGGAAGCUGAUUCUACUAAGGAUGUUUUAGAGUUUGUCCACCAGCUUGCUGCAAGGAGACCUGGCAGGAUGAGUUUUUGCUGCUCUAAUGAGGUUUACACACAGGAUUCCAUCAAAGUCAAAGUGUGCCGACGCCUGGACGCCUACCUAAGCCCUGCCAUGGUGAGACUGGAGGAAGCGAAGGCCCAAGGCGCUCGCAGGGGGUCCACACAGCUUGGGAUUGCCCUCCCUGUCCUCAGGCACCCUCACAUGAGCCAACAAAUAGUAGUCACCAAUUAACAUCAGGGACAAGAGAGGACAACCAGAAUGCCAAGAGGAAAGCCCACAACAGAGUCUAGUGGAGCAUGCAAACCAAACAUAGAAGCCUGAAAUCUGGAGCUGUGCCACCAACUGAGCCACCAACCCUGCAGUACCAAAAUGAAUGCAAACAACCAACUGACUACCAGCAGAAUGGAGUGCUUCUCAGUGUAAUGAUCUUGAGAGAAAAAUGAGACCUGAGCUAACAAAGUAACAAUUACAUAAUCAAAGAAAAUCAAAGAACAGGCUAGAGGUUAGAACACUGGGGAGAUGAAGCAAAACCAACAGACAACAUACAAAACAUUAACUCAAUGGCAAGUGAUCAAAAACCUUUCCCUAACUGAAUCUUGAAGUUUACUGUUUAUUCUGGAACUGAUUUUUCAACAAACUUUCACCCAAUGAUACUCGGCUGGUAGGUUGUUCCAAACAUCUUGGAGAACUAACCACAGAUCUUCUGUGGAUGUCGGCUUCCUCACAUCCUUCUGUCUCUUCAUGUAAUCCCAGACACACUCGAUGAUGUUGAGAUCAGGGCUCUGUGGGGGCCAUACCAUCAUUUCCAGGACUUCUUGUUCUUCUUUACACUGAAGAUAGUUCUUAAUGACUUUGGCUGUAUGUUUGGGGUCGUUGUCCUGCUGCAGAAUAAAUUUGGGGUCAAUCAUACGCCUCCCUGAUGGUAUUGUAUGAUGGAUAAGUAUCUGCCUGUAUUUCUCAGCAUUGAGAACACCAUUAAUCCUGACCAAAUCUCCAACUCCAUUUGCAGAAAUGCAGCCCCAAAUGUUCAAGGAACCUCCACCAUGCUUCACUGUUGCCUGCAGACACAAAUUAUUGUACCGCUCUCCAGCCCUUCGACGAACAAACUGCCUUCUGCUACAGCCAAAUAUUUCAAAUUUUGACUCAUCAGUCCAGAGCACCUGCUGCCAUUUUUCUGCACCCCAGUUCCUAUGUUUUCGUACAUACUUGAGUCACUUGGCUUUGAUUCCACGUCGGAGGUAUGGCUUUUUGGCUGCAACUCUUCCAUGAAGACCACUUCUGGCCAGACUUCUCCGGACAGUAGAUGGGUGUACCUGGGUCCCACUGGUUUCUGCCAGUCCUGACCUGAUGGCACUGCUGGACAUCUUCUGAUUUCGAAGGGUAAUAAGCUUGAUGUGUCUUUCAUCUGCUGCACUAAGUUUCCUUGGCCGACCACUGCGUCUACGAUCCUCAACGUUGCCCGUUUCUUUGUGUUUCUUCAAAAGAGCUUGAACAGCACAUCUUAAAACCCCAGUCUGCUUUGAAAUCUUUGUCUGGGAGAGACCUUGCUGAUGCAGUAGAACUACCUUGUGUCUUGUUGCUGUGCUCAAUCUUGCCAUGACAUGAAACUGUCUUCCACAACCUCACCUUGGUAACAGAGUUUGGCUGUUCCUCACCCAGUUUUAAGCCUCCUACACAGCUGUUUGUUUCAGUUAAUGACUGUGUUUCAACCUACGUGUGACAUUGAUGAUCAUUAGCACCUGUUUGGUAUAAUUGGUUGAUCAUACACCUGACUAGAAUCCUACAAAAUCCCUGACUGUGCAAGUGGACCUAUAAGAAUUGAUGCUGGUUUGAAGGCAAAAGGUAGUAACACCAAAUAUUGAUUUGAUUUCGAUUUUUCUUUUGUUCGCUCACUUUGCAUUUUGUAAAUUGAUAACAAUAAACAAUCAUUAUUUAUAUUUCUGAAA
Long non-coding RNA from Erpetoichthys calabaricus (reedfish), 2205 nucleotides. RefSeq lists it as uncharacterized. NCBI's taxonomy places the organism in Eukaryota, Metazoa, Chordata, Cladistia, Polypteriformes, Polypteridae. The transcript is spliced from 3 exons. The record is from RefSeq and is a predicted model, not a curated record.